Non-coding RNA from Vicia faba (fava bean), 257 nucleotides. The record is from the annotation of a GenBank genome assembly. Lineage: Eukaryota; Viridiplantae; Streptophyta; Magnoliopsida; Fabales; Fabaceae.
AUGCAGAACCAUCACCAUCAUCGCAUCGAUUCUGCAACAUCCACGCGACUGUAUCAACAUAGUCUUAUUACAAUAAUCUUCAGUCUUCAUCUCUAUUUCACUGCGACUUCGUCCGCAACCUGCAACACUCGCAUAUUCUUCCUCUCUGAAGAUCUUCAACGCCUUUACACCUCUGCAAGCAUCUUCAUCAUUACAUCUUCAUUAUCAAAAACAGUCCGCAACUUCAAGCAUCCUCACUCUUCCACGUCAUUUUACUG